RNAcentral lists this non-coding RNA (23 nucleotides) under Arabidopsis thaliana (thale cress). The record is from RNAcentral. Lineage: Eukaryota; Viridiplantae; Streptophyta; Magnoliopsida; Brassicales; Brassicaceae.
GUCUCGAGCUGCAACCAUCACAU